This 468-nucleotide ribosomal RNA is filed under the name uncultured bacterium. RNAcentral's name for it is "partial 16S ribosomal RNA". It matches the Rfam family "Bacterial small subunit ribosomal RNA", at positions 28 to 506 of the family's 1533-position model. The record is from RNAcentral.
GAUGAACGCUGGCGGCGUGCCUAAUACAUGCAAGUCGAACGAGGUGCUUUUGUAGCAAUACGAGAGUAUCCUAGUGGCGAACGGGUGAGUAACGCGUUGGUGACCUACCCCAAAGUGUGGAAUAACAGUCCGAAAGGAUUGCUAAUACCGCAUGUGGUUAUCGGGUUUAGAAACUGAUAACUAAAGGAGCAAUUCGCUUUGGGAGGGACCUGCGUCCCAUCAGCUAGUUGGUGAGGUAAUGGCUCACCAAGGCUACGACGGGUAGGGGACCUGAGAGGGUGACCCCCCACAAUGGAACUGAAACACGGUCCAUACACCUACGGGUGGCAGCAGUAGGGAAUAUUGCACAAUGGGCGAAAGCCUGAUGCAGCAACGCCGCGUGCACGAUGAAGGCCUUCGGGUCGUAAAGUGCUUUUCUGGGAGAUGAGAAAGGACAGUAUCCCAGGAAUAAGUCUCGGCUAACUACGU